GUUUUUAUUUAUCAGCUCUGGCCUUCAUCUUACUGUCCUCAGAUCAACACCUGGACGUGUUUGACCUGAAAAAAUAUGAACCUUCACAUGAGGCUCUUCUGUUGCUGCUGCCAGUGAUCAAAGAAUCUAAAAAAGUUUUGUUAUCUGGCUGUAAUCUGUCAGAGAAGCUGUGAAGUUCUGUCUUCAGUUCUCUGCUCUGUCCUCCAGUCUGACAGAACUGGACCUGACUAAGAACCGGCUGCAGGAUUCAGGAGUGACGCUGCUGUCUGCUGGACUGGAGAGUCCACACUGUCACCUGGAGACUCUCAGGCUGUCUGAUCACACAUGAAGGCUGUGCUUUUCUGGCCUCAGCUCUGACCUCCAACCCCUCCCAUCUCAGAGAGCUGGACCUGAGCUACAACCAUCCAGGAGACUCAGUCAAGCUGCUGGAUCCACUCCGGACUCUGGACUCUCUCAGAUUUUCACCAGAAUCUUCAAACCUGAAAAAGCCAAAAGUUGUUGUUUGCUGCUGAUCAGCACA
Long non-coding RNA from Thalassophryne amazonica, 520 nucleotides. RefSeq lists it as uncharacterized. The transcript is spliced from 4 exons. The record is from RefSeq and is a predicted model, not a curated record. Lineage: Eukaryota; Metazoa; Chordata; Actinopteri; Batrachoidiformes; Batrachoididae.